RNAcentral lists this ribosomal RNA (214 nucleotides) under uncultured bacterium. Its description in RNAcentral is "partial 16S ribosomal RNA". It matches the Rfam family "Bacterial small subunit ribosomal RNA", at positions 524 to 736 of the family's 1533-position model. The record is from RNAcentral.
GACGAACCGUGCGAACGUUAUUCGGAAUCACUGGGCUUAAAGCGCGUGUAGGCGGGACGGCACGUCGGUCGCUGAAAUCCCCCGGCUUAACCGGGGAACUGGCGUCGAUACGACCGCCCUGGAGGGGCGUAGGGGGACCUGGAACUUCCGGUGGAGCGGUGAAAUGCGUUGAGAUCGGAAGGAACGCCCGUGGCGAAAGCGAGGUCCUGGACGC